GGGCACUUAGUUCAGUUGGCUAGAACGCAUCCUUCACACGGAUGAGGUCACUGGUUCGAGUCCAGUAGUGCCCACCA
Molecule: transfer RNA, 77 nt
Filed under: Lentisphaerota bacterium
Lineage: Bacteria; Pseudomonadati; Lentisphaerota
Description: Lentisphaerae bacterium tRNA-Val
Rfam family: tRNA
About the family: Transfer RNA (tRNA) molecules are approximately 80 nucleotides in length. Their secondary structure includes four short double-helical elements and three loops (D, anti-codon, and T loops).
Source: RNAcentral